RNAcentral lists this ribosomal RNA (1442 nucleotides) under Triticum aestivum (bread wheat). RNAcentral's name for it is "partial small subunit ribosomal RNA". Lineage: Eukaryota; Viridiplantae; Streptophyta; Magnoliopsida; Poales; Poaceae. The record is from RNAcentral.
CCCUCUCCUCAAAUGUUGGGCAUGCGUGUCUUAAAAAAAAGGCGAUGGCCGGCUCUGCUCUCGGCCGCGCUGCGCUCGGUGAGCGAGUGAGCGAAGUGUUUAGGUGCUUGGAAUCGAGCGGCAGGCCGGUACCAGCGACGUAGGCAGCGCAGCUGGAGGUGGGGGCGGCGCAUGAGCAGGAACCGAGGCUUGGGCUGUCGCGCACUGGGCCAAUCCUGAUCCUCCGCGUGAUGAGUAGGUGAACACCGUCGGUGGUUAGCGGUGCACGUGCCGGCGUGACACUGGUCAGAGGCGGUCUAAGUGGGAGCGCUGGUGAAACGCUUGGGAGGCGCCGGGCAUAAGCACCGCAGCCGCCGCCUUCGCCUUCUCUACCGGCGCCUCCGCUCAUGAGGCCGCGGCCGGCUCCGGUCGCGCUUCGGGAAGCGGCAGGAGAAGCAGACGGAGCCCUUGUAAACAUCCUCAGGACGUCGACUUCGGCAGAAGGCCUUGGAGCAGUCGUUCGCGCCUGAACUCAGGUUCAAAGUCUAUCUGAGACGACCAUGGUAUCCAAUAGUACUCCCUCUAUUCCGGCUGAGUUCCUACUAUAGUUGAAGGUUCUUCGCCCCCUAACUCCACUGGAGUUAUAGGUCCGGAUAGUUUGGGAGUCUAAAGGCUUUAAAACUAGAAUAGGAACGUUACCUGUCCGUCUUAAUACUUCUGUAAAACUCGAGUAAACUGUCUACCGUUGUGUUCCUCUGAGAGGGUCUAUCACCUGGGUUCUUCCAAUUCGACUACACGAGGAUAACGUUCGCCGUAUGCCUCAGACUUCAAGGUCUAGGAAUGAUACCUCCGCGAUUCCCUAAACUUUUCCAUGACCUAGACGACCUUCUACGUACGCUCAGUAAUGAACUGUCGUAGCACCGCCUCUUUCUUUUGCAAAGACGAACUAGAGUCUUACUUAAAGGGACUCGGUUACAUUCGCAGUGUAAAAUUAAACUAACAUGGUCCUUAGUCAACGUUUCUACACCUUAAUCGAAAGACACUCGGUAGUAGAGAAGUCGGGUCUAUUAACAUUACUAUUAAUUGAUUUUUAUGUGAGAGAGUAGUAGUACGCAUAUAUACACAAUCCGACCUAUGUAAAGUAUGAAGGAAACAAAACUAAAAUGAGGCCAUUGUAGCGUCUUAUGUGUAUAUCGGUCCAGUACAGGAAACAGCACUCCUAUUGUACAUCCCGGGCCCCUACGAUCAAUCGUUAAAAGUCCAAACGAAAUGGAAUCUCCUAACUUUUUUCAAGAAAGGCUUUUUUCCGUCUUUUGAGACUAUUAGUCAACUAUUAAAAAAAACAUUAUAGUUGGCUAAAUUAAACUACACGUCAAGUAAAUUAUAUGUAUUCGACGAUUAAAGAUUUUUGCACGUCGAUAACAUAAAACAAUACAUGUUAGCACAUGUAAACUAACGUUAAA